RNAcentral lists this ribosomal RNA (480 nucleotides) under uncultured bacterium. Its description in RNAcentral is "partial 16S ribosomal RNA". It matches the Rfam family "Bacterial small subunit ribosomal RNA", at positions 28 to 523 of the family's 1533-position model. The record is from RNAcentral.
GACGAACGCUGGCGGCGUGCUUAACACAUGCAAGUCGAGCGGUAAGGCUCCUUCGGGGGUACACGAGCGGCGAACGGGUGAGUAACACGUGAGUAAUCUGCCCCUGGCUCUGGGAUAAGCAUUCGAAAGGGUGUCUAAUACCGGAUAUGACAAUCCUCCGUAUGGGGUGGUUGUGGAAAGUUUUUUCGGCUGGGGAUGUGCUCGCGGCCUAUCAGCUUGUUGGUGGGGUAAUGGCCUACCAGGCUUUGACGGGUAACCGGCCUGAGAGGGUGACCGGUCACACUGGGACUGAGACACGGCCCAGACUCCUACGGGAGGCAGCAGUGGGGAAUAUUGGACAAUGGGCGGAAGCCUGAUCCAGCAACGCCGCGUGAGGGAUGACGGCCUUCGGGUUGUAAACCUCUUUCAGCGAGGACGAAGCGUGAGUGACGGUACUCGCAGAAGAAGGACCGGCCAACUACGUGCCAGCAGCCGCGGUAA